GAUGAACGCUGGCGGCGUGCCUAAUACAUGCAAGUCGAGCGAACGGACGAGAAGCUUGCUUCUCUGAUGUUAGCGGCGGACGGGUGAGUAACACGUGGAUAACCUACCUAUAAGACUGGGAUAACUUCGGGAAACCGGAGCUAAUACCGGAUAAUAUUUUGAACCGCAUGGUUCAAAAGUGAAAGACGGUCUUGCUGUCACUUAUAGAUGGAUCCGCGCUGCAUUAGCUAGUUGGUAAGGUAACGGCUUACCAAGGCAACGAUGCAUAGCCGACCUGAGAGGGUGGUCGGCCACACUGGAACUGAGACACGGUCCAGACUCCUACGGGAGGCAGCAGUAGGGAAUCUUCCGCAAUGGGCGAAAGCCUGACGGAGCAACGCCGCGUGAGUGAUGAAGGUCUUCGGAUCGUAGAACGCUGUUAUUAGGGGAGAACAUAUGUGUAAGUAACUGUGCACAUCUUGACGGUACCUGAGCAGAAAGCCACGGCUAACUACGUG
Molecule: ribosomal RNA, 497 nt
Filed under: uncultured bacterium
Lineage: Bacteria
Description: partial 16S ribosomal RNA
Rfam family: Bacterial small subunit ribosomal RNA
Source: RNAcentral